Hypanus sabinus (Atlantic stingray) is the source of this 1704-nucleotide long non-coding RNA. RefSeq lists it as uncharacterized. The transcript is spliced from 3 exons. NCBI's taxonomy places the organism in Eukaryota, Metazoa, Chordata, Chondrichthyes, Myliobatiformes, Dasyatidae. The record is from RefSeq and is a predicted model, not a curated record.
AAGGGUCUCGAUCUAAAAUGUUGACUGUUGUUCAUUUCCAUAGAUGCUGCCUUACUCAUUGAGUUCCUCCAGCAUCUUGUGUGUGUUGCUUCUUCUAUCUGGUUUGUUUGACCAAGCAACUACAGAAAGAAGCAAAGUGGAUUUUUCAGCAACAAUAUCAACCAUGAUCAAUAAAGCUAUUAAGGACAUGGAGGGAAAUGAAACUAAGACAGACAAACGGACCCAUGGAUCAGUUGAGAUGUACUGUAUCUUCAUUGAAUCGUAGAACACAUCUGGUUCAACAGCACUGCUUCUCUUGGAUGUCAAGAACAAAAUCUGUACAGUUCAUUUUUAAAAAAAAAACAGAAUCCUCCUGUAACUUUUUGAAGGAUUAUCAGUUUGGCUGCUUACUUGUUGUUGCAUCCAGAUGACUGGACUGCAGAAGGGACACAUGAAUUGGUGAGGAGCUUGGUGUACAUAAAUAAUUAGUCAAAUAACUGGUUCAGAUUGGCACUAGGUAAUCAAUCAGAUGGUCAAAAUGUCAUAUCCUUCCAUUAUAUUUUUGACUGCUCUAUAUAUGUUUUGUGGAUGUCAACCCAGCAGCACCUCAACAUCAUUUAUGUCAAUGAGCCUAUCAAGAAUUUGCUGACGAGGUUCACCAUUACAAGGUAAUGAAACUGAAUAUAAUGUAUAAACUUAUAAAUUGUAGUGUAGGGGUCAAAUUGAUACUGAUUUACAAAUGGUCAAUACUCAUUGUCCUUUUCCUUCAAGUUUUUUUUGAUGUCCUGGGUUUCUAUUAUAAUAAAUGUGAAGUAAGUCCUAACUCACACAGCUGAAAACUUCUCAACACAUCUAAUUGUUUAGGGAAUCAGAAAGCCUAGUCCUUGUUUUGAGAUAACAUUGAUUGGUUUCAAUUGAACCUUUGUGCAAUGUCAUUUAGAUCUUCCUGUCUUCUCAGUAAACUGAGAAAUAUUUUUCUGUCAAUUAUUUUCAGCAGUGGAAUGUCUCAAUGAAGAAAUACUGUAAUAAGAUGAAAUGAUAAAUUAAAAACUUCUUGUGGCGGUUCGCCCACGUGGCAAGCGAACCGGCUCCAGCAGUCGCGGAUGAGUCCGCAGCCAGCGGCAACCAAGAGGGCUCUGAGUGCGGGGCAGACCUUGGCCCGGAAGCCGACGUCACUUCCACCCCGCAAAGUGACUCGGCCUCGUAAAAACAAGAAUAGCUUGCUACGAAAACACCGUCAUGACAGUGCCCCGAUAACUCCACUGCCGAGUUAAGGGCUAUUCUUCUUCUACAGACUUACUUGUGACAUUGCCCUAUACAUUGUCCAACUGUGUGUAUGAUGCAGAUUUCUUUCAAUAGACAACUUCUAAACCCAUGUAUGGUUUUUCAAACUAUAUGCAAGAGUCAUUUUUGGAAAAAUGAACUAUUCUUACUGACUAAAUUGGAAGUGAAAUUGCAUAAUAUUUCAUACUCUGGAUUUGAUAACAUCACUAUUUGUAGCCAUGUUCCAGACUGCUAUAAAUGUUGGUACAAUUAUUUCUAGUGAUGUCUUAAAAUGUUUGCUUACAGUCCUCCAUAAUAGAAAACAUAUUAAUUCUUGUUUGCUGUAGGGGUGGGUGUGAAAUUGUUAUUAAAAUAAAUUUAAUGCAUUUUUAAUGGAAGGUUUUGAUUUCUUUUAGAUAUUUCUAUCGCAGCAUCUUUUGCUUUUCUCUUUUUAAAAAUCUA